This is a non-coding RNA of Nerophis lumbriciformis (worm pipefish), 490 nucleotides long. The record is from RefSeq and is a predicted model, not a curated record. NCBI's taxonomy places the organism in Eukaryota, Metazoa, Chordata, Actinopteri, Syngnathiformes, Syngnathidae.
CUCUGCUGAGGUUGGCGGCCGUGGCCACCUUCUGGACGAUGGCGUGCUCGUUACGGCACUUCUCGUCUAAAGUGAGCUUCUCCGUGAUCUCGUUCAUGCCCAUCAGCUGACCUGGAGGAGGACGAGGAAGCAGUGGAGUAGACGGCCAUCAAUGAACGCUGAUCACCAAAGGUUUUAGGCCCCACCACAGCGCUGAAACAGUUCUGAUCAAGGUGACAAAUUAUAUCGCCCUGAACACAGACGCAGGAAAGUCUCAGUCUUGGUUCCGCUGGACCUGAGCCGCUGCCUUGACACAAUUGACCAUACUAUCUUAAUACAGAGCAGGUGAGACUACUGUAAUGGCCUUCUCACCAGGCUCUCUAAACAAACUGUCAAGCAGCUGCAGCACAUCCAGAAUGCUGCUGCUCGAGUCCUGACUAAAACCAGGAAAUACGACCAUAUUAGUCCGUGGUCUCAGUCACUGCACUGGCUUCCUGUUGCUCAGAGAAUA